CUCGAUGAGUAGGGCGGGACACGUGGUAUCCUGUCUGAAUAUGGGGGGACCAUCCUCCAAGGCUAAAUACUCCUGACUGACCGAUAGUGAACCAGUACCGUGAGGGAAAGGCGAAAAGAACCCCGGCGAGGGGAGUGAAAAAGAACCUGAAACCGUGUACGUACAAGCAGUGGGAGCACGCUUAGGCGUGUGACUGCGUACCUUUUGUAUAAUGGGUCAGCGACUUAUAUUCUGUAGCAAGGUUAACCGAAUAGGGGAGCCGAAGGGAAACCGAGUCUUAACUGGGCGUUAAGUUGCAGGGUAUAGACCCGAAACCCGGUGAUCUAGCCAUGGGCAGGUUGAAGGUUGGGUAACACUAACUGGAGGACCGAACCGACUAAUGUUGAAAAAUUAGCGGAUGACUUGUGGCUGGGGGUGAAAGGCCAAUCAAACCGGGAGAUAGCUGGUUCUCCCCGAAAGCUAUUUAGGUAGCGCCUCGUGAAUUCAUCUCCGGGGGUAGAGCACUGUUUCGGCAAGGGGGUCAUCCCGACUUACCAACCCGAUGCAAACUGCGAAUACCGGAGAAUGUUAUCACGGGAGACACACGGCGGGUGCUAACGUCCGUCGUGAAGAGGGAAACAACCCAGACCGCCAGCUAAGGUCCCAAAGUCAUGGUUAAGUGGGAAACGAUGUGGGAAGGCCCAGACAGCCAGGAUGUUGGCUUAGAAGCAGCCAUCAUUUAAAGAAAGCGUAAUAGCUCACUGGUCGAGUCGGCCUGCGCGGAAGAUGUAACGGGGCUAAACCAUGCACCGAAGCUGCGGCAGCGACACUAUGUGUUGUUGGGUAGGGGAGCGUUCUGUAAGCCUGUGAAGGUGUACUGUGAGG
RNAcentral lists this ribosomal RNA (864 nucleotides) under Escherichia coli. RNAcentral's name for it is "partial 23S ribosomal RNA". It matches the Rfam family "Bacterial large subunit ribosomal RNA", at positions 404 to 1268 of the family's 2925-position model. Lineage: Bacteria; Pseudomonadati; Pseudomonadota; Gammaproteobacteria; Enterobacterales; Enterobacteriaceae. The record is from RNAcentral.